UAGGGAAUCUUCGGCAAUGGGGGGAACCCUGACCGAGCAACGCCGCGUGAGUGAAGAAGGUUUUCGGAUCGUAAAGCUCUGUUGUUAAGGAAGAACGAGUGUGAGAAUGGAAAGUUCAUGCUGUGACGGUACUUAACCAGAAAGGGACGGCUAACUACGUGCCAGCAGCCGCGGUAAUACGUAGGUCCCGAGCGUUGUCCGGAUUUAUUGGGCGUAAAGCGAGCGCAGGCGGUUAGAAAAGUCUGAAGUGAAAGGCAGUGGCUCAACCAUUGUAGGCUUUAGAAACUGUUUAACUUGAGUGCAGAAGGGGAGGGUGGAAUUCCAUGUGGAGCGGUGAAAUGCGUAGAUAUAUGGAGGAACACCAGUGGCGAAAGCGGCUCUCUGGUCUGUAACUGACGCUGAGGCACGAAAGCGUGGGGAGCGAACAGG
This 429-nucleotide ribosomal RNA is filed under the name Verrucomicrobiota bacterium. RNAcentral describes it as "Verrucomicrobia bacterium partial 16S ribosomal RNA". It matches the Rfam family "Bacterial small subunit ribosomal RNA", at positions 355 to 776 of the family's 1533-position model. The record is from RNAcentral. Lineage: Bacteria; Pseudomonadati; Verrucomicrobiota.